This 279-nucleotide unclassified non-coding RNA is filed under the name plant metagenome. Its description in RNAcentral is "partial contains small subunit ribosomal RNA, internal transcribed spacer 1, and 5.8S ribosomal RNA". The record is from RNAcentral.
UUUCCGUAGGUGAACCUGCGGAAGGAUCAUUAUUGUAUAACCGAUUUUCGAGGGCUAUCGCUUACCCGAUGUGCCCUCCACGCCCGAUUGCCCUCACACACGUCCAUCCCACCCCGAUGUGCACCGUCGCGGGGGUCCCCCUUUGCCUUGUUCGGAGGGGUGCUUACGUUUUCACUCAAACUUUGUAUACAGUGUAGAAGUUAUUUUUUUUUUUUGCGAUCACGCCAACAAUACAACUUGCAACAACUGAUCUCUUGGCUCUUGCAUCAAGGAAGAACG